RNAcentral lists this ribosomal RNA (265 nucleotides) under uncultured Glomeromycotina. RNAcentral's name for it is "partial 18S ribosomal RNA". It matches the Rfam family "Eukaryotic small subunit ribosomal RNA", at positions 619 to 888 of the family's 1831-position model. The record is from RNAcentral. Lineage: Eukaryota; Fungi; Glomeromycota.
UUAAAAAGCUCGUAGUUGAAUUUCGGGGUUAGUAGGUUGGUCAUGCCUCUGGUAUGUACUGGUCUCACUGAUUCCUCCUUCCUGAUGAGCCGUAAUGCCAUUAAUUUGGUGUUGCGGGGAAUUUGGACUGUUACUUUGAAAAAAUUAGAGUGUUUAAAGCAAGCUAACGCUUGAAUACAUUAGCAUGGAAUAAUGAAAUAGGACGUUCGAUCCUAUUUUGUUGGUUUCUAGGAUUGACGUAAUGAUUAAUAGGGAUAGUUGGGGG